RNAcentral lists this ribosomal RNA (688 nucleotides) under Neofusicoccum eucalyptorum. RNAcentral describes it as "eukaryotic LSU rRNA". The stretch from base 209 to 362 matches the Rfam family "5.8S ribosomal RNA". The record is from RNAcentral. Lineage: Eukaryota; Fungi; Ascomycota; Dothideomycetes; Botryosphaeriales; Botryosphaeriaceae.
UUCCGUAGGUGAACCUGCGGAAGGAUCAUUACCGAGUUGACUCGAGCUCCGGCUCGACUCUCCCACCCUAUGUGUACCUACCUCUGUUGCUUUGGCGGGCCGCGGUCCUCCGCACCGGCUCCCUUUGGGGGCUGGCCAGCGUCCGCCAGAGGACCACAAAACUCCAGUCAGUAAACGUUGCAGUCUGAAAAACAAGUUAAUAAACUAAAACUUUCAACAACGGAUCUCUUGGUUCUGGCAUCGAUGAAGAACGCAGCGAAAUGCGAUAAGUAAUGUGAAUUGCAGAAUUCAGUGAAUCAUCGAAUCUUUGAACGCACAUUGCGCCCCUUGGUAUUCCGAGGGGCAUGCCUGUUCGAGCGUCAUUUCAACCCUCAAGCUUUGCUUGGUAUUGGGCCCCGUCCUCUGUGGACGCGCCUCAAAGACCUCGGCGGUGGCGUCUUGCCUCAAGCGUAGUAGAAAUCACCUCGCUUUGGAGCGCAUGGCGUCGCCCGCCGGACGAACCUUUGAAUUUUUCUCAAGGUUGACCUCGGAUCAGGUAGGGAUACCCGCUGAACUUAAGCAUAUCAAUAAGCGGAGGAAGGAUCAUUACCGAGUUGACUCGAGCUCCGGCUCGACUCUCCCACCCUAUGUGUACCUACCUCUGUUGCUUUGGCGGGCCGCGGUCCUCCGCACCGGCUCCCUUUGGGGG